UGUCACCUGUGACACGUGAAGAAAAUCCUGCGUGGUUGAUUCCACUUGCUGCUCAGAAUGUCAGCUGUCACCGUGGUCGCCCUUUCUUCUGCCAUGAAAGUACAAGACGGAUGGAAAGGAUCCGUAGUGGUCUGCAAGUACAAGGCUUUUCCAAGAAGCAUUAGCAGCCUUGUAACUAGUGACAGUGAGUCCUGAUGUGCUUUUCAUGAGUUCUUGCUUCAAUAAGGUCCUUUUUCCUUAACCUACAGUGUGUAAUUUUUGAGUUCAGUCAGAAAGAGAUUUUCCAGAAUGGAAAUCUUUCUCAUUCAAAGAAGUUGCAUUUUAUGAACUUCCCAUCAGAGCGGCUCUUCAGAGAUGAUGUACUUGGCAGUAGAAGUCAUCAGCAACAAGGCUUUUCACUCUCUUGGGGG
Pygoscelis adeliae (Adelie penguin) is the source of this 410-nucleotide long non-coding RNA. RefSeq lists it as uncharacterized. The record is from RefSeq and is a predicted model, not a curated record. The transcript is spliced from 3 exons. NCBI's taxonomy places the organism in Eukaryota, Metazoa, Chordata, Aves, Sphenisciformes, Spheniscidae.